This 524-nucleotide ribosomal RNA is filed under the name uncultured bacterium. Its description in RNAcentral is "partial 16S ribosomal RNA". It matches the Rfam family "Bacterial small subunit ribosomal RNA", at positions 28 to 523 of the family's 1533-position model. The record is from RNAcentral.
GACGAACGCUGGCGGCGUGCCUAAUACAUGCAAGUCGAACGCUUCUUUUUCCACCGGAGCUUGCUCCACCGGAAAAAGAGGAGUGGCGAACGGGUGAGUAACACGUGGGUAACCUGCCCAUCAGAAGGGGAUAACACUUGGAAACAGGUGCUAAUACCGUAUAACAAUCGAAACCGCAUGAUUUUGAUUUGAAAGGCGCUUUCGGGUGUCGCUGAUGGAUGGACCCGCGGUGCAUUAGCUAGUUGGUGAGGUAACGGCUCACCAAGGCCACGAUGCAUAGCGGACCUGAGAGGGUGAUCGGCCACAUUGGGACUGAGACACGGCCCAAACUCCUACGGGAGGCAGCAGUAGGGAAUCUUCGGCAAUGGACGAAAGUCUGACCGAGCAACGCCGCGUGAGUGAAGAAGGUUUUCGGAUCGUAAAACCCUGUUGUUAGAGAAGAACAAGGAUGAGAGUAACUGUUCAUCCCUUGACGGUAUCUAACCAGAAAGCCACGGCUAACUACGUGCCAGCCGCCGCCGUAA